This 253-nucleotide ribosomal RNA is filed under the name uncultured bacterium. Its description in RNAcentral is "partial 16S ribosomal RNA". It matches the Rfam family "Bacterial small subunit ribosomal RNA", at positions 524 to 776 of the family's 1533-position model. The record is from RNAcentral.
UACGUAGGGCGCAAGCGUUAUCCGGAAUUAUUGGGCGUAAAGAGCUCGUAGGCGGUUUGUCGCGUCUGCCGUGAAAGUCCGGGGCUCAACUCCGGAUCUGCGGUGGGUACGGGCAGACUAGAGUGAUGUAGGGGAGACUGGAAUUCCUGGUGUAGCGGUGAAAUGCGUAGAUAUUGGGAAGAACACCUGAGGCGAAGGCGGGUUGCUGGGCCGACACUGACGCUGAGGCGCGAAAGCCAGGGGAGCAAACGGG